RNAcentral lists this transfer RNA (72 nucleotides) under Micromonospora pisi. RNAcentral's name for it is "Micromonospora sp. GUI15 tRNA". It matches the Rfam family "tRNA". From Rfam's summary of the family: Transfer RNA (tRNA) molecules are approximately 80 nucleotides in length. Their secondary structure includes four short double-helical elements and three loops (D, anti-codon, and T loops). Further hydrogen bonds mediate the characteristic L-shaped molecular structure. tRNAs have two regions of fundamental functional importance: the anti-codon, which is responsible for specific mRNA codon recognition, and the 3' end, to which the tRNAs corresponding amino acid is attached (by aminoacyl-tRNA synthetases). tRNAs cope with the degeneracy of the genetic code in two manners: having more than one tRNA (with a specific anti-codon) for a particular amino acid; and 'wobble' base-pairing, i.e. permitting non-standard base-pairing at the 3rd anti-codon position. Lineage: Bacteria; Bacillati; Actinomycetota; Actinomycetes; Micromonosporales; Micromonosporaceae. The record is from Rfam by way of RNAcentral.
GUCCCGGUAGCUCAGCGGGAGAGCGCCGUCCUGACGCGACGGAGGCCGUUGGUUCGAACCCAACUCGGGGCA